Molecule: long non-coding RNA, 1020 nt
Organism: Pezoporus occidentalis (night parrot)
Lineage: Eukaryota; Metazoa; Chordata; Aves; Psittaciformes; Psittacidae
Exons: 3
Source: RefSeq, a predicted model, not a curated record
UGUGUACCAUCACACUGGAAAUGGUACAGCACUGGUUGAAUUCAAGGAGACAGGUCUGAGGUGUUUCAGCUGGAGCAUAGUCACUGUUUUCCUUUUCUGACAGGAGAGUAUCAGGAUGGAACAAAACCUGAAGAAGAAACUUUUGGACACCUUCUAACACACAAAGAACUUAAGCUGCCAUCAACCACUAGGUGAUGCUGUUUCAAUACAAUAAGGACAGAAAGAGUUUUAAGCCUCAGUGAGGAGCACAAGCCCACCCUAGACAAGGAGUGUCAGAAGAUACAGAAGUGACCUGAACUGGUACUUGCUGUUGAAGAACUCAUGACUCAUCUUUGCCCAUGUUCUUAUCUGCUGUUGGGGCCAUCUGUGGACACGACAGCUGGAGCACCAAAAAGUGAGUUUGUUUUCCAGACAAGCCUUCAGAAGAAGCAGUCCCUGGAGUUUGCAUCCAUCAGUAAAAGGCUCCAGAAGGAAGGAAGGAAUCAGGCCUAAAGCAUGUAGUUCUCACAGCACAUUUGGAUGCACCCUUGUGCUCUGCUCCAGUAUCCUGUGCUCCCCACACUGUUCCCUGAGGAAUUCCACAUUAACAACAUGAAGCGUCAUUUCUGUUCUUGGGAAUGGGAUUAGGAGAAAGCCACAGCUAAGACAAUGCAACACCUGGUUAAUUUAAGACACGGCAGGAGAACUCCUGCUCCCAGCAUACAAAAAGACAGCCCACAUGGCUCCUCAUCCCCUGCUUUUCACCCAGGUCCUUGUUGGGGAAGAUCCAACUUUUGUGCUGCCAGUACUGAGAGGCAGGAGCCGACAGUCGCAUUCAUCUCCCAGCUGCAUCACUCCUCUCCUUUCAGUGCAUCACAGCUGGGGAAGGAAAUGUCCUCCCCCUCUUUCCUUCCCUCCCUCCCACCCCCUUUACAAAUUAUGUUCUUGUACCACCUUGCUCUCUCCUCCUUUUAACAAAAGUGAUGAAAGUGUAACUCCAACUACUUACAUUAAUAUGUUCUAUUUGCAAGGCCAUAAAUC